This 73-nucleotide transfer RNA is filed under the name Camelus ferus (Wild Bactrian camel). It matches the Rfam family "tRNA". From Rfam's summary of the family: Transfer RNA (tRNA) molecules are approximately 80 nucleotides in length. Their secondary structure includes four short double-helical elements and three loops (D, anti-codon, and T loops). Lineage: Eukaryota; Metazoa; Chordata; Mammalia; Artiodactyla; Camelidae. The record is from Rfam by way of RNAcentral.
GAGGAUAUAGCUCAGCAGUAGAGUUGCAGGCCUAGCAGGCAUGAGCUCCUGGGUUCAAUCCCCAGUACCUCCA